Molecule: ribosomal RNA, 435 nt
Filed under: Triticum aestivum (bread wheat)
Lineage: Eukaryota; Viridiplantae; Streptophyta; Magnoliopsida; Poales; Poaceae
Description: partial small subunit ribosomal RNA
Source: RNAcentral
AUGUGGCUGGCUCGCAAAGAUCGGGUAUACACCAAUGAGAGCAGGUUGCGUCGCUCAAUAGCUUCCUUUGAUGCCUGCCCGUUCUGCAGCACCUGCGAGGACAUUACCCAUCUCCUUCUCCGCUUCUCUACUCUUCGGCCGCUUUGGGAGGAGCUCGACACCCUCUAUAGGGGGUCGCCGCACAACGUCUGGGAUAUUUGGCGGCAGGCCCCGAGGGACAAAGUUCACUCCACGGUUCUCAUCACAAUCUUCUGGAACACUUGGAAGCGUCGGAACGCCAAGGUCUUUUGACAAGAAACCCUGCACAUCCAUCACAUUGCUAGGGUAGCGGCGGACGAUCUGAAGCUUUGGUCUCAAAGAUGCAAGAAUGCCCAGCGAAAAUUGCUCCUCCAAGAUUGGGGCUCCAUGUUGUCAAACCUUGCCAGAAGAUUGUAA